CUUCUUCCAGCCAAUCACAGAGUCGUUCUUAGCAGUUGCUUAAGUGCGCAAGGAUACACACGUUCACCAAUGCAACGCAGAAUGGGCUCAUCCUUAUCAACAAAGGAUUUAUUUCUCGGACCAAAAUCAUACCAAGAAAAUGGAUCACAUAACCUUAAUCCAUUUCACUGCUCUUGAAAUUUCCAGAUUGCUGAUUCAACAUAUCUCUCCGUCUUUAAAGUUUGUUUACAUUUCGUUGGAAAAAAAUACAAGAGGAUCACAGAAAUGUAGCGGCCGAAGAAAGAGUUCAAAUAAAUCCAAGCCCCGGCCGUCAGCUACUUGGAGAGCGAGAUCUCCAUCUUGGGCUCGUGCGUAAUGGUUUCGAGAUAUCGUUUCAAGAAGUACCCCUUAUAUUUUAUUUAUAGGAUAUGCGGCGUUGCAAACAUCACAAACAUAUCAUAAUUAUUAGUAUUAGGCCUACCAUUAUCAGCCUAGUAGUAGGCUAGCCUAUGAUUAGUAGUAGGCCUAGUACAGUGGCCUAGUAUAUAAGUAGGCCUUGUAUUAAUAGUAUUAUUAUUAAAGGCUACUACUUUAACCACAUAUCAAAACGUACAGUAGACCUUUAAUAAUAAUUUUCGUCAUACUACUAAAUCCCUCUGACGGGUAACAAGGUUCACAUGGAGGGGGGGGGGGGGGGGGGUAGUUGCCUGAGGACACACAGUUAAUGUGUUGUGAAAAGUGUCAUGAAAUGUAAUGUUUUGUCAUAUCUUUAAUUGUAUAUAACUGCCUUAAUGUUGCUGGAGCCCAGGAAGAACUGCUGCCUAAUGGAGAUCUUUAAUAAAUACAAAUAUAGUCAUAACUCUACAAGAACAAAGGGUGCACCUUGGAGUCGAAUAAAGCAUCGUUUUCACCAAUCUUCCAUUGAUUUAAUCUGAAAUCUGAAAUUCAAACUCAAAUGUAUUACUUUAGUCAAGAUGCGUAAAAGUAUUGCGAGAACGAGUAGCCUAAAUUUUGGACAUGAUAUAUGGUUCUCACAGUGCUCAGCUCAGACCAGUUCCAGGUCAAACCAGCUUAGAGAGCUUGUCUAUUCGUGUAUUUGUAUUUGUAUAUUUAGGUAAACUCAUAUAGGACACACACACACACACACAUGAACGAAGGUGCACGUACGCCGAGACAAAUUCACCAAAAAGCGAGCGCAACAGAGCGAAAGAAGUGGUGGAAACUGAGAGCCUCGUGAAUUCCCACAAGGUGACUUUUGUUGGCUAGACUUACUGUUGAUGCACAUUCAUGUAAAUAUUAGUGGCAUUCGUUACAAAUGUCAAGCCAACAUCAUGUGUUUGAAGAAAACAUGUAAUAGAGAUUACACAAAGAUAUCCAACAAUAACGGAGUUGUCGGCCUAUAACAGUUGUAGUUGUCCUAUAAUAACACAAUUAAACAAAUCAUGUUCUUUUCGAUAUUUUGGUCCUGUCAUGAUGUUGGUAUGAUAUCCAGUAUGUUGUUUGGUGAUUAGUCAUUGAUGAUUUAAGAUAGUGCUAUGACGAUUGGCUACCUCGGAUUUUUCUUAAUACUUUUGCCUGCUAUUAUUAACAUCUAAUCAAAACAAUAAAGCCGAUAUAAUAGCAAUAACAACAACAAUAAUAAUAAUAUGUUGUGCUAUUAUAGUAACGCACUUCAUUUUAGUAACGCACAAGUUGUUUUUAGUAGGCCUAUAGUCCAAAUAUGUUCGAUAAGUUACAUUUCAACAAUACGUUUGGUAUAUCAUUGCCAAGUGCAAAUAGUUUAAAAAGUCGUGUAAUUUCAUUUCAGGUUUGCAAAAAUUAAGAAAGGUAAACUGU
Molecule: long non-coding RNA, 1815 nt
Organism: Oncorhynchus kisutch (coho salmon)
Lineage: Eukaryota; Metazoa; Chordata; Actinopteri; Salmoniformes; Salmonidae
Source: Ensembl